UACGUAGGGUGCGAGCGUUGUCCGGAAUUAUUGGGCGUAAAGAGCUCGUAGGCGGUCUGUCGCGUCGAUCGUGAAAACUUGGGGCUUAACCCUGAGCUUGCGGUCGAUACGGGCAUGACUGGAGUUCGGCAGGGGAGACUGGAAUUCCUGGUGUAGCGGUGAAAUGCGCAGAUAUCAGGAGGAACACCGGUGGCGAAAGCGGCGCACUGGACCAUAACUGACGCUGAGGCGCGAAAGCUAGGGGAGCAAACAGG
RNAcentral lists this ribosomal RNA (254 nucleotides) under uncultured bacterium. RNAcentral describes it as "partial 16S ribosomal RNA". It matches the Rfam family "Bacterial small subunit ribosomal RNA", at positions 524 to 776 of the family's 1533-position model. The record is from RNAcentral.